CACCUACGGGAGGCUGCAGUAGGGAAUAUUGGGCAAUGGGCGCAAGCCUGACCCAGCCAUGCCGCGUGAAGGACGAAGGUGCUCAGCAUUGUAAACUUCUUUUCUCCGAGAAUAAGGGCUUUGUAACUCAAGGCAUUGAAGGUAUCGGAGGAAUAAGCACCGGCAAACUACGUGCCAGCAGCCGCGGUAAUACGUAGGGUGCAAGCGUUGUCCGGAUUUACUGGGUUUAAAGGGUGCGUAGGCGGUUUGAUCAGUCGGUGAUGAAAUGCAGGAGCUCAACUCCUCGCGCUGUUACCGAUACUGUCAGACUUGAGGAUGAGCGAGGUAGCUGGAAUGAGUGGUGUAGCGGUGAAAUGCGUAGAGAUCACUCAGAACACCAAUUGCGAAGGCAGGUUACUGGCUCAUAUCUGACGCUGAGGCACGAAGGCGUGGGGAUCAAACAGGAUUAGAUACCCUGGUAGUCCACGCAGUAAACGAUGGAUACUCGAUGUUGGGGCUUCGGCUUCAGUGUCUAAGCGAAAGUGAUAA
RNAcentral lists this ribosomal RNA (528 nucleotides) under uncultured bacterium. Its description in RNAcentral is "bacterial SSU rRNA". It matches the Rfam family "Bacterial small subunit ribosomal RNA", at positions 335 to 863 of the family's 1533-position model. The record is from RNAcentral.